GACGGAGGAUGCAAGCGUUAUCCGGAAUGAUUGGGCGUAAAGCGUCCGCAGGUGGCAGUUCAAGUCUGCUGUCAAAGACCGGGGCUUAACUUCGGAAAGGCAGUGGAAGCUGAACAGCUAGAGUAUGGUAGGGGCAGAGGGAAUUCCUGGUGUAGCGGUGAAAUGCGUAGAGAUCAGGAAGAACAUCGGUGGCGAAGGCGCUCUGCUGGACCAUAACUGACACUCAGGGACGAAAGCUAGGGGAGCGAAUGGG
RNAcentral lists this ribosomal RNA (253 nucleotides) under uncultured bacterium. RNAcentral's name for it is "partial 16S ribosomal RNA". It matches the Rfam family "Bacterial small subunit ribosomal RNA", at positions 524 to 776 of the family's 1533-position model. The record is from RNAcentral.